GCAUAUCAAUAAGCGGAGGAAAAGAAACCAACCGGGAUUGCCCCCAGUAACGGCGAGUGAAGCGGCAACAGCUCAAAUUUGAAAUCUGGAGUCUUUGUUGGCUUCCGAGUUGUAAUUUGCAGAGGGAGCCUCGGAGGGCUGGUCGGUCCAAGUGCCUUGGAACAGGAUACCGCAGAGGGUGAGAGUCCCGUAUCCGGCCGACGCAGUGCUCCGUGUGAGGCCUCUUCGACGAGUCGAGUUGUUUGGGAAUGCAGCUCUAAGUGGGUGGUAAAUUCCAUCUAAAGCUAAAUACUGGCCAGAGACCGAUAGCGAACAAGUAGAGUGAUCGAAAGAUGAAAAGCACUUUGAAAAGAGAGUUAAACAGUACGUGAAAUUGUUGAAAGGGAAGCGCAUGGGGGCAGACUUGGACGCGGGGUUCAGGGUCUCUUUUUUGGAGGCGUGUACUUCCCCGCGGACAGGCCAGCAUCGGUUCUGGGGGCCGGACAAAGGCGACGGGAACGUGGCUCUCUUCGGGGAGUGUUAUAGCCCGACGUGCAAUGCGGCCACCUGGGACCGAGGACCGCGCUUCGGCAAGGAUGCUGGCGUAAUGGCCUCAUGCGGCCCGUCUUGAAACACGGACCAAGGAGUCUAACAUCUAUGCGAGUGUUUGGGUGGCAAGCCCGGACGCGCAAUGAAAGUGAACGGAGGUGGGAGCCCUUUCCCGCGUGGAGGGGGUGCAGCAUCGACCGAUCCGGACGUUUUCUGAAGGAUUUGAGUAAGAGCAUAGCUGUUGGGACCCGAAAGAUGGUGAACUAUGCGUGAAUAGGGUGAAGCCAGAGGAAACUCUGGUGGAGGCUCGCAGCGGUUCUGACGUGCAAAUCGAUCGUCAAAUUUGCGUAUAGGGGCGAAAGACUAAUCGAACCAUCUAGUAGCUGGUUCCUGCCGAA
This 926-nucleotide ribosomal RNA is filed under the name Scolecobasidium constrictum. RNAcentral describes it as "LSU rRNA". It matches the Rfam family "Eukaryotic large subunit ribosomal RNA", at positions 38 to 965 of the family's 3401-position model. Lineage: Eukaryota; Fungi; Ascomycota; Dothideomycetes; Venturiales; Sympoventuriaceae. The record is from RNAcentral.